CCUAUAACUCCUUCAUCUAGACUUGGAAUUUGUCAAAUAGUAUAUGUAAAGUGUAGCUAAGAAAGUUUUUUCUCUAAUUCCAGUCACUGAUCUUUCAUUGCUCUCUGUACGCAUAUGUUAUGCUUCAAAGAGUGACAGUAGAUACAAUUUGAUACCUUAACUUUGAACACCUAUAUCUCCUUCAAAAAAACUUGAAAUCACAUAAAAUCUUCAUCCAAAUUAUACCCAAAACCCUGAACUUGCUGACCUUAGUCUUCAAAGCUCGAAUGAAUUCGAAAGAGAAACCCUAAUCUCUAAUAAGGCCUCGGGCAGCCUCCUUGAAGCCCAUUAGGCAUGGCCUUCGACAAAUAGGAAUGAAGAUCUCUAUUCCUUGCCUUCAUCCAACCAUGCCUUGCUUUCAUCCCUCCCAAUAAGCUUCCUAAUAGUUUAGACUUUCAUCUUUAGACUCCAACCUUCCCUUAA
RNAcentral lists this long non-coding RNA (462 nucleotides) under Physcomitrium patens. Its description in RNAcentral is "long non-coding RNA (PPAT_LNC001962)". Lineage: Eukaryota; Viridiplantae; Streptophyta; Bryopsida; Funariales; Funariaceae. The record is from RNAcentral.